Ruditapes philippinarum (Manila clam) is the source of this 1273-nucleotide long non-coding RNA. RefSeq lists it as uncharacterized. The transcript is spliced from 5 exons. Lineage: Eukaryota; Metazoa; Mollusca; Bivalvia; Venerida; Veneridae. The record is from RefSeq and is a predicted model, not a curated record.
AGUAAAAUCAUAUGGAAACAACAUACACAGGCAUUUCUUAAUUUCGUUUUAAAUUGUUUUGAAUAUUACCCUGUGUAUUUUUUUAUCUUUGCUGUAAGCGAUAAUUUUUCUGAGACUCCCCAAAUGACCAGGAAAAAAAUCUGUAUUUACGGCUUUGACGACGUAAAAAGGAUAUAUAUCAGCAAGUGAAAAGUGGGUAAUCAUGUCAGCCCAUGGUGGGGAGAUAAGAGAGGGGUUUUUGUGCCCCAUGUGUAUGAAAGAUCUAGGAACUGUAAGUCAGUUACAGUCCCACUUUGAGGAGGCACAUAGCACAGAGGACAAAGCAACUCUAACCAACUCAGAGGCUUGUUUGACAGAGCAAAGAAAAAGUUUCUGGGUGAUAAAGAAGAUGAUUUGUCAGAUAGCAUAAAAGCUAGUAGUAGUGUUUCUAUUACACAGUCAACAAGUCUGUAUGAUGUAGAUUACUGGCAACCACAAGAUACAGGGAAGACACGUAGUUGGACUGAUUUUUUCCGAGGUAUACGAGAUGCGCGAGUGGACAAGUAUGUUGUAGAAAACAAACAAGAUAUUGAUACGAUUAGACAAACUAAUCAGUUCCGACAUCCCAACUGAUUCUGGCAAAAGAAAAGCCUUUGAGAAGACAGUUGUUAUGUGGUUGCCAGAUAGUGAGAGCAAAAAGUUGUAGAUAUUGUGGCCGAUCAUUUAACUUGACUCGACGUCGACAUCAUUGCAGACUUUGUGGGGAUCAUGUGUGACAGGUGCUCGCAUUUCCUUACACACGAUUAUGCAAGUAAGUUUUCUUUAUGUACCUGCAGGAUUGCCUAGCUUGUUUUAACAUUAUUUAUUACAUGUAUCCAAAAAGACGGAUUUUGUUUCGAUUUUUUUUCGUUCAAUAAUUUGAUUUCCUUUGAUUUUGAACAAGUGUAUUAUGAAUGGUUAUUCAAAUAAUGUAUAAAAUUUUAUAGAAUUUGUUUGCAUCAGCCUGUGUUUGAGUGCAAUGUAUGAACACUAUUUAGAAAGGAAUGUUUACAUACGAAAUGUUGACAGAUGUGGCACAAAUAGACUUAAAUAACCAUCAGUAUAUUAAUUGAGCACUGAAUUUAGUUCAGCAUUAUUUUACAUACACACAUAAAGAGAGUUUUUACGACAUGACGGGACUCGAACAAAGUGUUCCAAGAUUUUCGCGCCAAAAGAUAUAGGUCUAUACCAAUGACUUUUGUGCACAAAUUUCAGAUUAUUCUCUGACUAUUUUUCCAGAAUAUUUUUUCUUAUU